AAAUACACAAUGAAACGUGAUCUAGGUUGUAUAUGAUAGUAUAGAG
This 46-nucleotide non-coding RNA is filed under the name Trypanosoma brucei brucei. The record is from RNAcentral. Lineage: Eukaryota; Euglenozoa; Kinetoplastea; Trypanosomatida; Trypanosomatidae.